GUAGGGACCUCAAGAAUAC
RNAcentral lists this non-coding RNA (19 nucleotides) under Arabidopsis thaliana (thale cress). The record is from RNAcentral. Lineage: Eukaryota; Viridiplantae; Streptophyta; Magnoliopsida; Brassicales; Brassicaceae.